This 342-nucleotide ribosomal RNA is filed under the name Oryza glaberrima (African rice). RNAcentral describes it as "rRNA EPlOGLG00000000328". It matches the Rfam family "Eukaryotic large subunit ribosomal RNA", at positions 640 to 983 of the family's 3401-position model. The record is from RNAcentral. Lineage: Eukaryota; Viridiplantae; Streptophyta; Magnoliopsida; Poales; Poaceae.
CCAUCCGACCCGUCUUGAGACACGGACCAAGGAGUCUGACAUGCCUACGAGACGACGGGUUCUGGAACCUGGGAUGUGCAAGGAAGCUGACGAGUGAGAGGCCCUCGCGGGCCGCACCGCCGGCCGACCCUAAUCUUCUGUAAAGGGUUUGAGUUGGAGCACGCCUGUCGGGACCCGAACGAUGGUCAACUAAGCCUGAGCGAGGCGAAGCCAAAGGAAACUCUGGUGGAGGCUCGAAGCGAUACUGACGUGCAAAUCAUUUGUCUGACUUGGGUAUAGGGCCGAAAGACUAAUCGAACCAUCUAGUAGGUGAUUCCCUCCAAAGUUUCCCUCGGGAUAGCU